UNGCANCUAUNAUGCAGUCGAGCGAUGGAUUAAGAGCUUGCUCUUAUGCANGUUAGCGGCGGACGGGUGAGUAACACGUGGGAUAACCUGCCCAUAAGACUGGGAUAACUCCGGGCAAACCGGGGCUAAUACCGGAUAACAUUUUGAACCGCAUGGUUCGAAAUUGAAAGGCGGCUUCGGCUGUCACUUAUGGAUGGACCCGCGUCGCAUUAGCUAGUUGGUGAGGUAACGGCUCACCAAGGCAACGAUGCGUAGCCGACCUGAGAGGGUGAUCGGCCACACUGGGACUGAGACACGGCCCAGACUCCUACGGGAGGCAGCAGUAGGGAAUCUUCCGCAAUGGACGAAAGUCUGACGGAGCAACGCCGCGUGAGUGAUGAAGGCUUUCGGGUCGUAAAACUCUGUUGUUAGGGAAGAACAAGUGCUAGUUGAAUAAGCUGGCACCUUGACGGUAUCUANCCAGAAAGCCACGGCUAACUACGUGCCAGCAGCCGCGGUAAUACGUAGGUGGCAAGCGUUAUCCGGAAUUAUUGGGCGUAAAGCGCGCGCAGGUGGUUUCUUAAGUCUGAUGUGAAAGCCCACGGCUCAACCGUNGGAGGGUCAUUGGAAACUGGGGANGACUUGAGUGCAGAAGAGAAGUUGAAAUUUCCAUGUNGUAGCGGUGAAUUGCGUAGNANANNUGGGAGAACACCAGUUGCGAAAGGCGACUUUUCUCUGGGUCNUNGG
Molecule: ribosomal RNA, 726 nt
Filed under: Bacillus thuringiensis
Lineage: Bacteria; Bacillati; Bacillota; Bacilli; Caryophanales; Bacillaceae
Description: bacterial SSU rRNA
Rfam family: Bacterial small subunit ribosomal RNA
Source: RNAcentral